GCCGCGUGUGUGAAGAAGGCCUUCGGGUUGUAAAGCACUUUCAGUUGUGAGGAAAGGUUAGUAGUUAAUACCUGCUAGCUGUGACGUUAACAACAGAAGAAGCACCGGCUAACUCCGUGCCAGCAGCCGCGGUAAUACGGAGGGUGCAAGCGUUAAUCGGAAUUACUGGGCGUAAAGCGCACGCAGGCGGUCUGUUAAGCUAGAUGUGAAAGCCCCGCGCUCAACGUGGGAUGGUCAUUUAGAACUGGCAGACUAGAGUUUUGGAGAGGAGAGUGGAAUUCCAGGUGUAGCGGUGAAAUGCGUAGAUAUCUGGAGGAACAUCAGUGGCGAAGGCGACUCUCUGGUCAAUAACUGACGCUCAUGUGCGAAAGUGUGGGUAGCGAACGGGAUUAGAUACCCCGGUAGUCCACACCGUAAACGCUGUCUACUAACUGUUUGUGGAUUUAAUCCGUGAGUAGUGAA
Molecule: ribosomal RNA, 462 nt
Filed under: Arctic sea ice bacterium AWS-4M2
Lineage: Bacteria; Pseudomonadati; Pseudomonadota; Gammaproteobacteria
Description: bacterial SSU rRNA
Rfam family: Bacterial small subunit ribosomal RNA
Source: RNAcentral